Molecule: ribosomal RNA, 399 nt
Filed under: Sthenoteuthis oualaniensis
Lineage: Eukaryota; Metazoa; Mollusca; Cephalopoda; Oegopsida; Ommastrephidae
Description: partial 12S ribosomal RNA
Source: RNAcentral
UUCUUUAUUUUAAAAAAUUUUAUUACUUAAGUAGUACAAAUGUGAGUAUAAAUAUAUAAUUCUUUGAUUGUUUGAAACUUAAAAGGCUUGGCGGUAUUAUAUAUCCUACCAGGGGAGCUUGCUUAUUAAUUUGAUAAUCCCCAAUUUAUACUUACUUUUUUUUGAAUUAUAACAGUUUGUGUAUUGCUGUCGUCAGUUUAUUUUGCAAAAAUUUAGGAAAAAACUAAAUAAUUUUAUGGUUGUGAUGUCAAGUCAAAAUGCAGUUUAUGAAAAAGGUUUAAAGUGAGCUACAAUUUAUAUUUUUAAUCGGAUUAGAAAAUGUAAUUUUUCUAUGAAGUUGGACUUGGUAGUAAUAAGAGUUUAAAUAGUGAGUUCUUAUGAAUUGGGUUUUAUAAUGCG